ACUCCUACGGGAGGCAGCAGUGGGGAAUAUUGCACAAUGGGCGCAAGCCUGAUGCAGCAACGCCGUGUGAGUGAAGAAGGUUUUCGGUAUCGUAAACUACUGUCCUAAGGGAAGAAACAAAUGACGGUACCUUAGGAGGAAGCCCGGCUAACUACGUGCCAGCAGCCGCGGUAAUACGUAGGGGCAAGCGUUAUCCGGAAUCACUGGGCGUAAAGGGUGCGUAGGCGGCUUAGCAAGCCAGGGUGAAAGGCAUUGGCUCAACCAAUGUAAGCCUUUGGAACUGUUAAGCUUGAGUGCAGGAGAGGUAAAGUGGAAUUCCUAGUGUAGAGGUGAAAUUCGUAGAUAUUAGGAGGAACACCAGUGGCGAAGGCGACUUACUGGACUGUAACUGACGCUGAUGCACG
This 404-nucleotide ribosomal RNA is filed under the name uncultured bacterium. RNAcentral describes it as "bacterial SSU rRNA". It matches the Rfam family "Bacterial small subunit ribosomal RNA", at positions 335 to 755 of the family's 1533-position model. The record is from RNAcentral.